Molecule: ribosomal RNA, 450 nt
Filed under: uncultured bacterium
Lineage: Bacteria
Description: partial 16S ribosomal RNA
Rfam family: Bacterial small subunit ribosomal RNA
Source: RNAcentral
GUGGGGAAUAUUGGACAAUGGGCGCAAGCCUGAUCCAGCCAUACCGCGUGGGUGAAGAAGGCCUUCGGGUUGUAAAGCCCUUUUGUUGGGAAAGAAAUCCUGUCGAUUAAUACUCGGUGGGGAUGACGGUACCCAAAGAAUAAGCACCGGCUAACUUCGUGCCAGCAGCCGCGGUAAUACGAAGGGUGCAAGCGUUACUCGGAAUUACUGGGCGUAAAGCGUGCGUAGGUGGUGGUUUAAGUCUGCUGUGAAAGCCCUGGGCUCAACCUGGGAAUUGCAGUGGAUACUGGAUCACUAGAGUGUGGUAGAGGGAUGCGGAAUUUCUGGUGUAGCAGUGAAAUGCGUAGAGAUCAGAAGGAACAUCCGUGGCGAAGGCGGCAUCCUGGGCCAACACUGACACUGAGGCACGAAAGCGUGGGGAGCAAACAGGAUUAGAAACCCCGGUAGUCC